This 315-nucleotide unclassified non-coding RNA is filed under the name Tomentella sp. RNAcentral describes it as "partial contains 5.8S ribosomal RNA, internal transcribed spacer 2, and large subunit ribosomal RNA". RNAcentral also lists the same sequence under 2 other names. Lineage: Eukaryota; Fungi; Basidiomycota; Agaricomycetes; Thelephorales; Thelephoraceae. The record is from RNAcentral.
AACGCACCUUGCGCCCUUUGGCUAUUCCGAAGGGCAUGCCUGUUUGAGUAUCAUGAACACCUCAACUCUCAUGGUCCACCAUGAUGAGCUUGGACUUUGGAGGUAUUGCCGGCCCAAUUGUCGGCUCCUCUCAAAUGGAUCAGCUUGCCAGUGUUUGGUGGCAUCACGGGUGUGAUAACUAUCUACGCUCGUGGUUUUCCACCAUGUAACCUUCAGCGAUGGAGGUUCGCUGGAGCUCACAGACGUCUCUCCUCAGGGAGGACAGCUUUUUGAACGUUUGAUCUCAAAUCAGGUAGGACUACCCGCUGAACUUAA